RNAcentral lists this ribosomal RNA (517 nucleotides) under Macaca fascicularis (crab-eating macaque). RNAcentral's name for it is "partial 12S ribosomal RNA". It matches the Rfam family "Bacterial small subunit ribosomal RNA", at positions 789 to 1533 of the family's 1533-position model. The record is from RNAcentral. Lineage: Eukaryota; Metazoa; Chordata; Mammalia; Primates; Cercopithecidae.
ACUAUGCUUGGCCCUAAACCUCAGUAAUUAGAUAACAAAACUACUCGCCAGAAUACUACAAGCAACAGCUUGAAACUCAAAGGACUUGACGGUGCUUUACAUCCCCCUAGAGGAGCCUGUUCCAUAAUCGAUAAACCCCGAUCCACCCUACCCUCUCUUGCUCAGCCUAUAUACCGCCAUCUUCAGCAAACCCUAAUGAAGGCCACAAAGUGAGCGCAAACGCCGCCGCCGCGAAUACGUUAGGUCAAGGUGUAGCCCAUGAGACGGUAAAAAAUGGGCUACAUUUUCUGUUUCAGAAAACCCACGAAAACCCUUAUGAAACUUAAGGGUCCAAGGAGGAUUUAGCAGUAAAUUAAGAAUAGAGUGCUUAAUUGAACCAGGCCAUAAAGCGCGCACACACCGCCCGUCACUCCUCUCAAAUAUAUUUAAGGAAUAUCCUAACUAAACGCCCUAAUAUUUAUAUAGAGAGGAUAAGUCGUAACACGGUAAGCGUACUGGAAGGUGCGCUUGGAUAAAU